CGGGUUGUCAUGUCAAUGGCACUGCCCGGUAGCUAAAUGCGGAAGAGAUAAGUGCUGAAAGCAUCUAAGCACGAAACUUGCCCCGAGAUGAGUUCUCCCUGACUCCUUGAGAGUCCUGAAGGAACGUUGAAGACGACGACGUUGAUAGGCCGGGUGUGUAAGCGCAGUGAUGCGUUGAGCUAACCGGUACUAAUGAACCGUGAGGCUUAACCUUACAACGCCGAAGGUGUUU
Molecule: ribosomal RNA, 232 nt
Filed under: Escherichia coli O103:H25 str. 2010C-4529
Lineage: Bacteria; Pseudomonadati; Pseudomonadota; Gammaproteobacteria; Enterobacterales; Enterobacteriaceae
Description: partial 23S ribosomal RNA
Rfam family: Bacterial large subunit ribosomal RNA
Source: RNAcentral